Molecule: non-coding RNA, 519 nt
Filed under: Pongo abelii (Sumatran orangutan)
Lineage: Eukaryota; Metazoa; Chordata; Mammalia; Primates; Hominidae
Source: RNAcentral
GUCUUUGCCACUUCUCACCAUGGCCACUAGAGAGCGACAGUGCUCCAUCUUCUAGAAAGAAACAGUCCAAUCCCUGCGCCUUCUGCCGAGGAGCCUGGAGAGCCACCUCCCUGAACUCCAGGACUUUCAGUUGCACUGCCUUAUGGACCUGAGGGUGAUCACCAACCCGCGGGGCCUCCGGGGGUUCUACUUUUGGCAGCAGCUCACUGACUGCAAUGUGCCCAGCAUUUCUAAUGAAGAGGAGGUUCUGUGAAGCGCACAGCAGGUUCUGGUCAAGAAGGCAGCCUUUGGGCACCCACCUCAACGGACCCAAGGCAGCAGAUGGCCAAGAGAGCCCAGUGGAUUCUGCCCCAAAUAUCUCAUUUCCCUCUCAGUGUCACCUCUGCUGGCAUCACAGCUGGGGCACAGUCCUCUCUGCUCUAUCCUCACAGCACCUCACACGUAUUAGGUACUCAGCAAAUGUUUCUGGAGUAUCUUUGUGUGCGUUAUGUGGUGCUGUUUUAUCAAACCCCUGAACAC